RNAcentral lists this ribosomal RNA (2354 nucleotides) under Staphylococcus aureus M0844. RNAcentral's name for it is "bacterial LSU rRNA". It matches the Rfam family "Bacterial large subunit ribosomal RNA", at positions 3 to 2355 of the family's 2925-position model. The record is from RNAcentral. Lineage: Bacteria; Bacillati; Bacillota; Bacilli; Caryophanales; Staphylococcaceae.
UUAAGUUAUUAAGGGCGCACGGUGGAUGCCUUGGCACUAGAAGCCGAUGAAGGACGUUACUAACGACGAUAUGCUUUGGGGAGCUGUAAGUAAGCUUUGAUCCAGAGAUUUCCGAAUGGGGAAACCCAGCAUGAGUUAUGUCAUGUUAUCGAUAUGUGAAUACAUAGCAUAUCAGAAGGCACACCCGGAGAACUGAAACAUCUUAGUACCCGGAGGAAGAGAAAGAAAAUUCGAUUCCCUUAGUAGCGGCGAGCGAAACGGGAAGAGCCCAAACCAACAAGCUUGCUUGUUGGGGUUGUAGGACACUCUAUACGGAGUUACAAAGGACGACAUUAGACGAAUCAUCUGGAAAGAUGAAUCAAAGAAGGUAAUAAUCCUGUAGUCGAAAAUGUUGUCUCUCUUGAGUGGAUCCUGAGUACGACGGAGCACGUGAAAUUCCGUCGGAAUCUGGGAGGACCAUCUCCUAAGGCUAAAUACUCUCUAGUGACCGAUAGUGAACCAGUACCGUGAGGGAAAGGUGAAAAGCACCCCGGAAGGGGAGUGAAAUAGAACCUGAAACCGUGUGCUUACAAGUAGUCAGAGCCCGUUAAUGGGUGAUGGCGUGCCUUUUGUAGAAUGAACCGGCGAGUUACGAUUUGAUGCAAGGUUAAGCAGUAAAUGUGGAGCCGUAGCGAAAGCGAGUCUGAAUAGGGCGUUUAGUAUUUGGUCGUAGACCCGAAACCAGGUGAUCUACCCUUGGUCAGGUUGAAGUUCAGGUAACACUGAAUGGAGGACCGAACCGACUUACGUUGAAAAGUGAGCGGAUGAACUGAGGGUAGCGGAGAAAUUCCAAUCGAACCUGGAGAUAGCUGGUUCUCUCCGAAAUAGCUUUAGGGCUAGCCUCAAGUGAUGAUUAUUGGAGGUAGAGCACUGUUUGGACGAGGGGCCCCUCUCGGGUUACCGAAUUCAGACAAACUCCGAAUGCCAAUUAAUUUAACUUGGGAGUCAGAACAUGGGUGAUAAGGUCCGUGUUCGAAAGGGAAACAGCCCAGACCACCAGCUAAGGUCCCAAAAUAUAUGUUAAGUGGAAAAGGAUGUGGCGUUGCCCAGACAACUAGGAUGUUGGCUUAGAAGCAGCCAUCAUUUAAAGAGUGCGUAAUAGCUCACUAGUCGAGUGACACUGCGCCGAAAAUGUACCGGGGCUAAACAUAUUACCGAAGCUGUGGAUUGUCCUUUGGACAAUGGUAGGAGAGCGUUCUAAGGGCGUUGAAGCAUGAUCGUAAGGACAUGUGGAGCGCUUAGAAGUGAGAAUGCCGGUGUGAGUAGCGAAAGACGGGUGAGAAUCCCGUCCACCGAUUGACUAAGGUUUCCAGAGGAAGGCUCGUCCGCUCUGGGUUAGUCGGGUCCUAAGCUGAGGCCGACAGGCGUAGGCGAUGGAUAACAGGUUGAUAUUCCUGUACCACCUAUAAUCGUUUUAAUCGAUGGGGGGACGCAGUAGGAUAGGCGAAGCGUGCGAUUGGAUUGCACGUCUAAGCAGUAAGGCUGAGUAUUAGGCAAAUCCGGUACUCGUUAAGGCUGAGCUGUGAUGGGGAGAAGACAUUGAGUCUUCGAGUCGUUGAUUUCACACUGCCGAGAAAAGCCUCUAGAUAGAAAAUAGGUGCCCGUACCGCAAACCGACACAGGUAGUCAAGAUGAGAAUUCUAAGGUGAGCGAGCGAACUCUCGUUAAGGAACUCGGCAAAAUGACCCCGUAACUUCGGGAGAAGGGGUGCUCUUUAGGGUUAACGCCCAGAAGAGCCGCAGUGAAUAGGCCCAAGCGACUGUUUAUCAAAAACACAGGUCUCUGCUAAACCGUAAGGUGAUGUAUAGGGGCUGACGCCUGCCCGGUGCUGGAAGGUUAAGAGGAGUGGUUAGCUUCUGCGAAGCUACGAAUCGAAGCCCCAGUAAACGGCGGCCGUAACUAUAACGGUCCUAAGGUAGCGAAAUUCCUUGUCGGGUAAGUUCCGACCCGCACGAAAGGCGUAACGAUUUGGGCACUGUCUCAACGAGAGACUCGGUGAAAUCAUAGUACCUGUGAAGAUGCAGGUUACCCGCGACAGGACGGAAAGACCCCGUGGAGCUUUACUGUAGCCUGAUAUUGAAAUUCGGCACAGCUUGUACAGGAUAGGUAGGAGCCUUUGAAACGUGAGCGCUAGCUUACGUGGAGGCGCUGGUGGGAUACUACCCUAGCUGUGUUGGCUUUCUAACCCGCACCACUUAUCGUGGUGGGAGACAGUGUCAAGCGGGCAGUUUGACUGGGGCGGUCGCCUCCUAAAAGGUAACGGAGGCGCUCAAAGGUUCCCUCAGAAUGGUUGGAAAUCAUUCAUAGAGUGUAAA